This 560-nucleotide long non-coding RNA is filed under the name Heterocephalus glaber (naked mole-rat). RNAcentral's name for it is "lncRNA (ENSHGLG00100049363.1)". The record is from RNAcentral. Lineage: Eukaryota; Metazoa; Chordata; Mammalia; Rodentia; Bathyergidae.
GCACAAUCACUUGCAGUCUCUGUUACCAAGAAGAAAACAGAGGAAAGAAAAACCCACUACUAAUGAACUUCCAGUAAUGGACUAGACAUUCUGUUUUCUGACCAGCACAAUGGCUCUGUCCAACUCUGCUGUGAUAGCUCCUUCUGGAAGGGUUUCAAGGACCCAAACUGGCAAGAGGCAGCAGUUACAAGGUGCCACGCAAUCACUGGUUAUAGGAAAGCAAGCGCAGAGGCAGGCACAGGAAGGCAGCGGGAGGGGCAGGCUGCAGAGACCUGGAUGACGUCCCAGGAGGAGGCAGGUGUGCAGGAUGACUCACACCCCUGCCAGCUCCCACGACUUCUAUGACAAGGAAGCCAGAUCGAUGUUUUCAAGACAGUCAAGGGCCGCUGUAGAAAGGCCAACGUGGGAGAAACCGACGCGCUGGCCGAGACUCAGCACCAACCCGCCCCUCACGGGUUGCGACCCCAGCAGAUGCUGAACCACUGCACAGCAAGUUCUGGGGACCGGAGCCAGGAACUCCAGGGGGGCUGCUCUUGGUUCAACAACCCAUAGAAAUCAGG